ACGGGUGAGUAAUAUAUCGGAACGUACCCAAGAGUGGGGGAUAACGUAGCGAAAGUUACGCUAAUACCGCAUACGAUCCAAGGAUGAAAGCAGGGGACCGCAAGGCCUUGUGCUCCUGGAGCGGCCGAUAUCUGAUUAGCUAGUUGGUGAGGUAAAGGCUCACCAAGGCAACGAUCAGUAGCUGGUCUGAGAGGACGACCAGCCACACUGGAACUGAGACACGGUCCAGACUCCUACGGGAGGCAGCAGUGGGGAAUUUUGGACAAUGGGGGCAACCCUGAUCCAGCAAUGCCGCGUGAGUGAAGAAGGCCUUCGGGUUGUAAAGCUCUUUUGUCAGGGAAGAAAAGGGUCUGGCUAAUAUCCAGAUCUGCUGACGGUACCUGAAGAAUAAGCACCGGCUAACUACGUGCCAGCAGCCGCGGUAAUACGUAGGGUGCAAGCGUUAAUCGGAAUUACUGGGCGUAAAGCGUGCGCAGGCGGUUUCGUAAGUCUGUCGUGAAAUCCCCGGGCUUAACCUGGGAAUGGCGAUGGAGACUGCGAGGCUAGAGUUUGGCAGAGGGGGGUAGAAUUCCACGUGUAGCAGUGA
RNAcentral lists this ribosomal RNA (586 nucleotides) under uncultured bacterium. RNAcentral describes it as "bacterial SSU rRNA". It matches the Rfam family "Bacterial small subunit ribosomal RNA", at positions 102 to 684 of the family's 1533-position model. The record is from RNAcentral.